UCGGAUCGGAGUCUGCAACCCGACUCCGUGAAGCUGGAUUCGCUGUAAUCGCGCAUCAGCCAUGGCGCGGUGAAUACGUUCCCGGGCCUUGUACACACCGCCCGUCAAGCCAUGGGAGCCGGGGGUGCUUGAAGUGCGUCGCCGCAAGGCGCCCGCCCUAGGGCAAAACCGGUGACUGGGGCUAAGUCGUAACAAGGUAGC
Molecule: ribosomal RNA, 201 nt
Filed under: uncultured bacterium
Lineage: Bacteria
Description: partial 16S ribosomal RNA
Rfam family: Bacterial small subunit ribosomal RNA
Source: RNAcentral